GCGUUAAGUUGCAGGGUAUAGACCCGAAACCCGGUGAUCUAGCCAUGGGCAGGUUGAAGGUUGGGUAACACUAACUGGAGGACCGAACCGACUAAUGUUGAAAAAUUAGCGGAUGACCUGUGGCUGGGGGUGAAAGGCCAAUCAAACCGGGAGAUAGCUGGUUCUCCCCGAAAGCUAUUUAGGUAGCGCCUCGUGAAUUCAUCUCCGGGGGUAGAGCACUGUUUCGGCCAGGGGGCCAUCCCGGCUUACCAAUCCGAUGCAAACUGCGAAUACCGGAGAAUGUUAUCACGGGAGACACACGGCGGGUGCUAACGUCCGUCGUGAAGAGGGAAACAACCCAGACCGCCAGCUAAGGUCCCAAAGUCAUGGUUAAGUGGGAAACGAUGUGGGAAGGCCCAGACAGCCAGGAUGUUGGCUUAGAAGCAGCCAUCAUUUAAAGAAAGCGUAAUAGCUCACUGGUCGAGUCGGCCUGCGCGGAAGAUGUAACGGGGCUAAACCAUGCACCGAAGCUGCGGCAGCGAACGUAUCACCCAAGACAACUUUGCACAGUUGACGAUUGACGGAGCGAAGCGACGUCAAAGCGUUUUACAACGUCGAGUUGGCUUAGGGAUACGUUCGUUGGGUAGGGGAGCGUUCUGUAAGCCGUUGAAGGUGUGUCGUGAGGCAUGCUGGAGGUAUCAGAAGUGCGAAUGCUGACAUAAGUAACGAUAAAGCGGGUGAAAAGCCCGCUCGCCGGAAGACCAAGGGUUCCUGUCCAACGUUAAUCGGGGCAGGGUGAGUCGACCCCUAAGGCGAGGCCGAAAGGCGUAGUCGAUGGGAAACGGGUUAAUAUUCCCGUACUUGGUGUUACUGCGAAGGGGGGACGGAGAAGGCUAUGUUGGCCGGGCGACGGUUGUCCCGGUUUAAGCGUGUAGGUGUGUGUUCCAGGUAAAUCCGGUUCACUUUAACACUGAGGCGUGAUGACGAGGCACCACGGUGCUGAAGCAACAAAUGCCCUGCUUCCAGGAAAAGCCUCUAAGCCUCAGGUAACAUCAAAUCGUACCCCAAACCGACACAGGUGGUCAGGUAGAGAAUACCAAGGCGCUUGAGAGAACUCGGGUGAAGGAACUAGGCAAAAUGGUGCCGUAACUUCGGGAGAAGGCACGCUGAUAUGUAGGUGAAGUGAUUUACUCAUGGAGCUGAA
RNAcentral lists this ribosomal RNA (1183 nucleotides) under Salmonella enterica subsp. houtenae. Its description in RNAcentral is "partial 23S ribosomal RNA". It matches the Rfam family "Bacterial large subunit ribosomal RNA", at positions 692 to 1781 of the family's 2925-position model. Lineage: Bacteria; Pseudomonadati; Pseudomonadota; Gammaproteobacteria; Enterobacterales; Enterobacteriaceae. The record is from RNAcentral.